UACGGGGGGGGCAAGCGUUGUUCGGAUUUACUGGGCGUAAAGGGCGCGUAGGCGGCCACUGCAAGUCAGUUGUGAAAUCUCCGGGCUUAACCCGGAAAGGUCAACUGAUACUGCAGGGCUAGAGUGCAGAAGGGGCAACUGGAAUUCUCGGUGUAGCGGUGAAAUGCGUAGAUAUCGAGAGGAACACCAGUGGCGAAGGCGGCUCACUGGACCGGAACUGACGCUGAGGCGCGAAAGCGUGGGGAGCAAACGGG
Molecule: ribosomal RNA, 254 nt
Filed under: uncultured bacterium
Lineage: Bacteria
Description: partial 16S ribosomal RNA
Rfam family: Bacterial small subunit ribosomal RNA
Source: RNAcentral